Long non-coding RNA from Pteronotus mesoamericanus, 469 nucleotides. RefSeq lists it as uncharacterized. Lineage: Eukaryota; Metazoa; Chordata; Mammalia; Chiroptera; Mormoopidae. The record is from RefSeq and is a predicted model, not a curated record. The transcript is spliced from 3 exons.
UUAUACGGACAUCCAUCAACUUAGCACCAUUUAUGGAAAAGACCACCCCUGUCUCCUUGCACUUCACCGUAAAUUAGAUUCAUCCUCCACUCGUCACCCUGCCAUGCCCCGGACGCUGACCCUUUGAAACCGGAAAAGUCAGCAUUUGUGCUCCCUGUCGCUGGAAGCGAUGAGUAGAAAUGAGGACUUUACGGGCACUCUAUUCAGACGCCGGCGACCUGAGACGAUGGUUGGCAGAGACACGGCGAAUCCUGCCACCAGGCCGCGGGGCUGCCGAGGACCAAAUGGGAGCUCUGUCACAAAGCUCUGUCACUGCACCUGGGAGGGCUCGCUUAAUUUUAGCCCUUACUACGUUUUCUUCAACAUUGAAUCGUCGCCUCAUUUCUCAAGAGAUGAUUUUCUGCCAAGAGGCUGGAUCUGAACUGCAGAGACCACUCUCUGCUGUGUCUCCAGCGCGUAGCCCGGAGCC